Molecule: ribosomal RNA, 478 nt
Filed under: uncultured organism
Description: partial 16S ribosomal RNA
Rfam family: Bacterial small subunit ribosomal RNA
Source: RNAcentral
CGUACACUCCUGCGGGAGGCAGCAGUGGGGAAUUUUGGACAAUGGGCGAAAGCCUGAUCCAGCCAUGCCGCGUGCAGGAUGAAGGCCUUCGGGUUGUAAACUGCUUUUGUACGGAACGAAACGGCCUUUUCUAAUAAAGAGGGCUAAUGACGGUACCGUAAGAAUAAGCACCGGCUAACUACGUGCCAGCAGCCGCGGUAAUACGUAGGGUGCAAGCGUUAAUCGGAAUUACUGGGCGUAAAGCGUGCGCAGGCGGUUAUGUAAGACAGUUGUGAAAUCCCCGGGCUCAACCUGGGAACUGCAUCUGUGACUGCAUAGCUAGAGUACGGUAGAGGGGGAUGGAAUUCCGCGUGUAGCAGUGAAAUGCGUAGAUAUGCGGAGGAACACCGAUGGCGAAGGCAAUCCCCUGGACCUGUACUGACGCUCAUGCACGAAAGCGUGGGGAGCAAACAGGAUUAGAUACCCCUGUAGUCCCAUG